CAUUAAGAAGCUAAAUCGGGUAAGCAUUAGCCUUUUAAGCUAAAAAUUGGUGACUCCAUAUCACCCUUAAUGA
This 73-nucleotide transfer RNA is filed under the name Squatina aculeata (sawback angelshark). Its description in RNAcentral is "tRNA-Lys". It matches the Rfam family "tRNA". From Rfam's summary of the family: Transfer RNA (tRNA) molecules are approximately 80 nucleotides in length. Their secondary structure includes four short double-helical elements and three loops (D, anti-codon, and T loops). Lineage: Eukaryota; Metazoa; Chordata; Chondrichthyes; Squatinidae. The record is from RNAcentral.